CCUGCCUCGGCCUCCCAAAGUGCUGGGAUUACAGGCGUGAACCACCGUGCCCGGCUACCAGGGAUUCUUAAAACUCUGGUAGACCUCAACCCCCAGCCUCGCCUUUGCUACCUAUUCCCAGGUACUGCUUAAACCAAAACCUUCUGAAAAGGCAGGUGCGUGACUACCAUCGGCAGGGCUUAGAUUUUUGGAUUAGGAAUGUGACACUUUAGGUAAAGACACAACUAUUGGGCUUUCCUGAGGUCAGCAAGGUGUAGGAUGGAAGGUGAAUUUUAGGAAAGAAGUUGGGUAAUAGGGAACCAUUCCUACUUUCCCCUCAGGGCCCUAAAGAAUAUAUAUCUAUAAAAAGUCUGGCUGAGAUUUAAGUCAGGGCCUGUGGCCAAUCAUAUUUACCUUCUAGACAAAGAUAACUCACGCAUGUGAGGAAUUUGGCCUCUACUUUUACUUCAUUAGCACCAAGAACUGAGCUAAAUGGAUCUCCCUUAAGCAUCUGUGGCCUCAGAAUUUUUUCUCAGGUUCAUUAAACUGAAAACGCCCACCACCCCACCCUCCUUUUUAUUCCCCUCUUGGCAGUUUUCAUGUUCUCCAAAUGGAAGUUUAUAGAUAUGCAGCUCAGCAUUUAGCUGAUGUUUCUGUUGGUUGCAGAGCUAUUAGAAAUAGACUUUUUUCCUCACACAGUGACUCUUCCCAGCGUUCUCGUAUCACUAGAGAAGACAGCUCAGGGGGAGAGAGGAGCUGUCAAGCCCUAAGGCCUGAAUAACUGGGAAUCUGGCAAAUUUCCUGGAUUAUGAUGUCCCCUGGCUUGGGAGAAGUGCCAGCAGCGGGGGUGUCAGGGAGAGGCACAGUGUGCAUGUGCGUGUCAGAGCUCAUGAGCCCUGAAGGAGCAUGAGUUAGAUUCUGGGAUGCUUUCAGUUAUGAAAAGCAUUAUUGCUUUUGACCUUCUCAUCCCUCUCUCCGUGUGCAGAGUUUUGGUCAGUCUCAGUGGAACAUAAAAACUGUGAACACUAGCUGCAGUUUUGUUUUCAUACCUGGACAGAGCAUAAGUCCUGCCAUGAACACAGCAAAGAUCCUUCAGAAAGUCAAGAGGAAGAAGAAACAACGGUUCAUGUUAAACUUGAGACGUUAAUCUUGAAAUGCCACCGGUUCUCUUCUGAUUAGAUUACAUGCAGAAUAAAACAUGCAGGCAAUCCCAAA
Molecule: non-coding RNA, 1194 nt
Organism: Macaca mulatta (Rhesus monkey)
Lineage: Eukaryota; Metazoa; Chordata; Mammalia; Primates; Cercopithecidae
Source: RefSeq, a predicted model, not a curated record